UACGAAGGGGGCUAGCGUUGUUCGGAUUUACUGGGCGUAAAGCGCGCGUAGGCGGACAUUUAAGUCAGGGGUGAAAUCCCGAGGCUCAACCUCGGAACUGCCUUUGAUACUGUAUGUCUGGAGUUCGGGAGAGGUGAGUGGAAUUCCGAGUGUAGAGGUGAAAUUCGUAGAUAUUCGGAGGAACACCAGAAGCGAAGGCGGCUCACUGGCCCGAUACUGACGCUGAGGCGCGAAAGCGUGGGGAGCAAACAGG
RNAcentral lists this ribosomal RNA (253 nucleotides) under uncultured bacterium. RNAcentral's name for it is "partial 16S ribosomal RNA". It matches the Rfam family "Bacterial small subunit ribosomal RNA", at positions 524 to 776 of the family's 1533-position model. The record is from RNAcentral.